GGGCUAGGUUGAUAGAAGUACUCAAUCAUCUUGACUCUUUUUCUCCCUCAUCUUGCCACCAUCAAAAGACAUUUUUGUGAAGAAAAUAUGGAAAAGAAGAAGAAAAUGGGCUAAAGGAAAGAAAAUAAGUGAAAAGAGAAUAAAAAUCUAUGGAAAGGAACAGGAAUGUGGAUAGAAAACCAAAUUCCUAAAAAUACAAAGAAAAGAGA
RNAcentral lists this long non-coding RNA (209 nucleotides) under Elaeis guineensis (African oil palm). RNAcentral describes it as "long non-coding RNA (EGUI_LNC042156)". The record is from RNAcentral. Lineage: Eukaryota; Viridiplantae; Streptophyta; Magnoliopsida; Arecales; Arecaceae.